AUGCAUAUCAAUAAGCGGAGGAAGAUUCCGUAGAAGCGGAGGAGGACCCCAUAUCAAUCAGCGGAGGAAGCUUCUUAAUGUGCGGAGGAAGUUAAACAAACAAAUAAAUCAGAACUUUCAACAACGGAUCUCUUGGUUCUGGCAUCGAUGAAGAACGCAGCAAAAUGCGAUAAGUAAUGUGAAUUGCAGAAUUCAGUGAAUCAUCGAAUCUUUGAACGCACAUUGCGCCCGCUGGUAUUCCGGCGGGCAUGCCUGUUCGAGCGUCAUUUCAACCCUCAAGCCCCCGGGUUUGGUGUUGGGGAUCGGCUCUGCCUCACGGCGGUGCCGCCCCCGAAAUACAUUGGCGGUCUCGCUGCAGCCUCCAUUGCGUAGUAGCUAACACCUCGCAACUGGAACGCGGCGCGGCCAUGCCGUAAAACCCCAACUUCUGAAUGUUGACCUCGGAUCAGGUAGGAAUACCCGCUGAACUUAAGCAUAUC
Molecule: ribosomal RNA, 479 nt
Filed under: Fusarium lateritium
Lineage: Eukaryota; Fungi; Ascomycota; Sordariomycetes; Hypocreales; Nectriaceae
Description: eukaryotic LSU rRNA
Rfam family: 5.8S ribosomal RNA (bases 113-266)
Source: RNAcentral